AACGCUGGCGGCGUGCCUAACACAUGCAAGUCAAACGGGAAAGGGGCUUCGGCCCUGAGUAGAGUGGCGAACGGGUGAGUAACACGUGGGUGAUCUACCUUCGAGUGGGGGAUAACGUUCCGAAAGGAACGCUAAUACCGCAUGACGUUCUGGGUUUAAAGACCUGGAAACCAAAGCCGGGGACCGCAAGGCCUGGCGCUUGAAGAGGAGCCCGCGUCCGAUUAGCUAGUUGGCGGGGUAAUGGCCCACCAAGGCGACGAUCGGUAGCCGGCCUGAGAGGGCGGACGGCCACACUGGAACUGAGACACGGUCCAGACUCUUACGGGAGGCAGCAGUGGGGAAUUGUUCACAAUGGGCGCAAGCCUGAUGACGCAACGCCGCGUGGGGGAUGAAGGUCUUCGGAUCGUAAACCCCUGUCGAAUGGGACGAAUGACCUCUGGGUUAAUCACCAGAGGAAUGACGGUACCGUUAAAGGAA
This 477-nucleotide ribosomal RNA is filed under the name Acidobacteria bacterium REF-21. RNAcentral's name for it is "bacterial SSU rRNA". It matches the Rfam family "Bacterial small subunit ribosomal RNA", at positions 32 to 489 of the family's 1533-position model. Lineage: Bacteria; Pseudomonadati; Acidobacteriota. The record is from RNAcentral.